UACUAUAUUUUAGAGAAUUGUUCAAUGUUUUUUCAAUUUGGCAUUAAAACAAACAGAGUCGACAAAUAAAAGAUGGUGACUAGUUAAUAAAAGAGUUUAGAAUCCCCAUGGGGAUAAGGGCAAUGGAACGGAAUGGAGAAACAAAUUAAAUUGAUUAGAAAAAGAAUAGUAUUUCCUACCCUUAAAAAAGAAAGAAAGAAGACGGUGAUUCAGUUGAUGAUAAGAUGUGUGUGUACAUAAUUAACUUAACAUAUGAAGAAGAUGUCAUGGGAAAGAAAGUCAAUUGAGUUUAGUUACCCGCAAGAGAGCGUCGAGAUCGUCCUGCACCACUAUAUGAGAAUCAGAUUGAGAUUGAGAAUAAGACAUUAAAUGGUAUGGGAUACAGAUACUAUGAGUCAUUCUGAAAAUAAGCCACAUACCAACUCCACACUUCAGUAUUGGGGCCACAGAAGCAUUCUCAUGUUUGUUUUUUGCGCUGGAAGGAGUUCUGUCAAGAUACAUCACUGGAGAAGGCUGGUUUGUAUAUUAAUUCAUCUGAACAAAAUGAGUUCAGUUCUCCUAGUAGAAGCAUUGAUUUCAACCAAGAGAACUGUCUUUACUCUUCUGGCCUUUGUUCUCUGGCCAUUUCCUCUUCACAGGUUGAUGAGAUUGAACCACCAACUUGGACUAAAAGGCUUGCUACAGGGGAGGAUAUAUCAGUUGGAAAUAUGUUCUUUUUGACAUCUGCUGUGAAGAAAAGUUUUGAGAUGGUUAUGUUGGCAGUAAGUCAAAAGUGGCCUGUUCUUCUAUAUGGUCCUGCUGGCGCUGGGAAAUCUGCUCUUAUUCACAAGUUGGCCCAGGAUAGUAGGAACCAAAUUCUGUCUAUCCACAUGGAUGAUCAAAUUGAUGGUAAAACCUUAAUGGGAAGUUCUGUUUGUACAGAGCAACCCGGUGAAUUUAGAUGGCAGCCCGGGUGACUUACCCAGGCUGUUCAGAAUGGAUUUUGGGUUUUAUUUGAGGAUGUUGACAAAGCACCAUCUGAUGUGCAAUCCAUCAUACUACCUUUGCUGGAAGGUGCAAAAUCAUUUUCAAAUGGGCAUGGGGAGGAAGUAAUGGUGGCAGAAAGUUUUUGACUAUUUUCCACAAUUUCAACUUUUAGAUUUGAUAUAUCACACAGUUCAGAAGGUGGAAAACUUGGUGUUUUUUGGAGGAAAAGUGAUGAUUGUGCCUCCAAGUAAGGAAGACUUGCAAAAUAUAAUAAAAGCCUGGUAUCCAAAUUUAGAGCCAAUUUCUGAGAAACUCAUAGGAACCUUUGAAAGGGUUAACUCUUCUCCUGUACAUCAACUAGCGGGAUUCCACCCCAGAAAUUCUGCUGUUAGUUUUCUCAGCAGAUUCUCAUUAAGGGAUCUUCUUAAAUGGUGCAAGCGAAUCUUAGGUUUAGGCUUUAGCUUCAAUGGAGAUGGUUUGUCAGCUUAUGAGUGUAAUUACUGAGAUAUGGGUUCCCCCUGUUGGUGACCUAAAUGAGCUUAAGAGUAUUGCUCUGCAGAGGUAGAUAAGUGACCUAA
Molecule: long non-coding RNA, 1544 nt
Organism: Quercus lobata
Lineage: Eukaryota; Viridiplantae; Streptophyta; Magnoliopsida; Fagales; Fagaceae
Exons: 10
Source: RefSeq, a predicted model, not a curated record